CAAGAACUAUGCCUUAUAUUAGACAAUUAAUAAGCUUUGCUAUGCAAUUAAGUACAUAUAGCAAGCUACUGACAACCCUGCCAAAUUUGUACAGUGAGAAUUAUCACCACUAUUUAUAUAAAAGCACAAUAUUAAAGAAGUUUACUGAAGUAGUU
Molecule: long non-coding RNA, 155 nt
Organism: Oxyura jamaicensis (ruddy duck)
Lineage: Eukaryota; Metazoa; Chordata; Aves; Anseriformes; Anatidae
Exons: 3
Source: RefSeq, a predicted model, not a curated record